UUUUCCAUUGAAUUUCUCCAUUUUAAGAACAUUUUUCUCUGGAUUUUCUCCAUUUCUUAGGACAUUUUUUCAUUUUAAGGACAUUUUCCCAUGGAAUUUCUCAAUUUUUCCACGGAAUUCCUCCAUUUUAAGGACAUUUUUUCCCAUUUUUCCCACACGAAUUUUUCCAUUCCAAGUCCAUUUUUCCUGGGGUGUUUUUUUCCGGAACUCCUCCAUCCACAUUUCCCAUUUUUUCCCCGGAAUUCCCGAAUUUCCCCCAUUUUCCCCCGUUUCAGGCUGGCGGGCGCUGCCCCAGCUCUGCGGCCGCCUCGCGGUCCAGGAGCCACCGGAGCCGCCCCGAGCGGGGCCGGAGCCGCGCGGCCGGGACGGGCUCGGGGUCCUGCUCCUGCUCCAGGAU
This 397-nucleotide long non-coding RNA is filed under the name Junco hyemalis (dark-eyed junco). RNAcentral describes it as "lncRNA (ENSJHYG00000010790.1)". Lineage: Eukaryota; Metazoa; Chordata; Aves; Passeriformes; Passerellidae. The record is from RNAcentral.